RNAcentral lists this unclassified non-coding RNA (257 nucleotides) under Hevea brasiliensis (rubber tree). Lineage: Eukaryota; Viridiplantae; Streptophyta; Magnoliopsida; Malpighiales; Euphorbiaceae. The record is from RNAcentral.
GAUUUUUUUUUUUUUUUUUUAUACAACUAGUUCCAACUGUGACUUGAACGUGAGAUCUCUCAGCGUUGGGAACUCCAACGACUUGAGUAAUAUUGAGUUAAAGUUCAUUGAUUACAUAAACUCUUUUUUGAUAUUGAAAUUAAUCAUUUAAUAGAUUUGUGCUUGUCAAUGAACCUCUCUGCCCUGCCAAUUUUUAAUCUUAACUUUACAUAUCUAUUAAUAUUUCUUUUGCAGCUUUUGUUUUGAGACACCCUCUU